Molecule: long non-coding RNA, 279 nt
Organism: Ficedula albicollis (Collared flycatcher)
Lineage: Eukaryota; Metazoa; Chordata; Aves; Passeriformes; Muscicapidae
Exons: 3
Source: RefSeq, a predicted model, not a curated record
GCAGUGGGAGUCCCGGGUGACACAGUACGAAAGGGACUUUGAGCGGAUUUCUGCUGUCAUCCGUAAGGAAGUGAUACGGUUUGAGAAAGAGAAAUCUAAGGACUUCAGAAACCAUGUCACGAAAUACCUUGAGACGUUAUUAAACUCUCAGCAACAGCUGGUGAAGUACUGGGAAGCGUUCCUGCCCGAAGCCAAGGCCAUUUCUUAAUUGGACUGAGAAAGCAAACCUGAAUUUUGCCUUUUUUUUUUUUUUUCUUUUUUUCUUUUUUUUCUUUCUUU